GAGUUUGAUCCUGGCUCAGAAUGAACGCUAGCGAAAUGCUUCACACAUGCAAGGCUCCUUUUCUCCAUUUCCGGUAGCCGCACGGGUGGCUAAAUAACGUGGGAAUCUGCCGAAGCGGUAAAGCACGUAAUGUGGUGGAACCUGCCUUCGAUGAGCCCGCGGAGUAUCAGGUAGUUGGUCAGGUAACGGCUGACCAAGCCAAUGACGCUUAGCUGGUCUGCGAGGAUGAUCAGCCACACUGGUAACUGAGACACGGCCCAGACUCUCCAUGAUGCUGCAGUGGGGAAUCUUGGACAAUGGGCGGAUGCUGCCUGAUCCAGCCAUUUGCAUUGCGCGUGGGAUAGGAAGGGUGGAGCUCGUAUAACCCUUUCGGCAUCGGAUCUAGCUAUUCCCCCCAUGAAACCUGCUUCCCGAUCUUCUAUAUUCUCGAUGAAAACCCAUGGUAAGAAGCCCCGGCGUAACUCCCGUGCCAGCAGCCGCGGUAAGACGGGGGGGGCAAGUGUUCUUCGGAAUUACUGGGCGUAAAGGGCACGUAGGCGGUGAUCACAUUCCAGCCAGUGAUGCAUGCACCAUCCGAUACUUGGGAUUCGCAUUAGUGUUGACCAUGCCUUUCCGGGAUUGAAUAAGCUUAGGGGCAUCUGCCUACUUUCGAUUCAUGGUUGGUCCCAUUCGAAAACACCUG
RNAcentral lists this ribosomal RNA (682 nucleotides) under Ephedra antisyphilitica (popote). RNAcentral's name for it is "partial 19S small subunit ribosomal RNA". It matches the Rfam family "Bacterial small subunit ribosomal RNA", at positions 9 to 712 of the family's 1533-position model. Lineage: Eukaryota; Viridiplantae; Streptophyta; Gnetopsida; Ephedrales; Ephedraceae. The record is from RNAcentral.